Tetranychus urticae (two-spotted spider mite) is the source of this 2871-nucleotide non-coding RNA. The record is from RefSeq and is a predicted model, not a curated record. NCBI's taxonomy places the organism in Eukaryota, Metazoa, Arthropoda, Arachnida, Trombidiformes, Tetranychidae.
UGCGUUACAUCAACGAUUUUUCAUUAUUUUAAUUGUGCUUGAAAUAACAAUAAAUAUUCGCUUUUUCAGCCUCCAAAAAUCAAGAUCAAAAAUUCAAGCUGAAAUUAAACAGGAAAAACCUAAGUUGAAUAAAAGAAAUAUUGCUCAAGCUAGAGCGCGCACCAAACAAGUGAUAUGGCGCCAAUCUGCAAGCAGAAAUGAAUCAAUGUAAACGUAGAUUCAACUUUAAAGAUUCAAGAUUCCGACAUUCCAACAAUUAAUUUAUUUUUUGGUUCAUGAGGUAAAAAAGUUGGCAAAGGAUUGAGGUGAAAUAAUUUUGUUCAAGUAAAGAUUAAAAUGGCGAGACUGCCAGUUGAUCCACUUUGCUUGGUUUUUGCCUUCAAAUGGCGAUUCAAAAAAUGGUUAAAAUUAUCUUAAAGUUGCGUGUUAUUUCUGGAUCAAACCAGCUGAUGGUAAAUUACUUGUUUUAAACUGGGAAAAUUCAUCAUCCAAUGCCACCCAAUGCACCAAGAGCGCCGAGUCCACCAAGACCACCAAGACCACCUAACCCAAUACCAUGACCACCAAGGCCACCUAAACCUCCACCGAUUCCACCCAAUUUACCAAGAGCAGCCAGAUGAGUGAGGGCAUGGCCACCACCGACUCCUCCACCUCCUAACCCAAAUUAUAAAAAUAUUUUGUCAUUACAAGAGCUUUUCUCAACAAGAUAAUCCCAGCUGUUUUACUCACCGAAACCACCACCAUAGCCACCAGCCAAACCACCGGUUAAUAGCUGUUUCUUGUAAAGCCAUGGAUCAUGAAUAACUGCUUGAUAGCUUUUAUAAAUUCUGUUCAUAUGGUGGAUAAAAAGAAAAGAAGGGGAAAAGUGUUGCUUAAAUCAAAUUUGAUUGACCAAAAUUCAAUUAGAUGUUCAACAAGGCUGAUCAUCAAGUUUAGUUAUUGCUUUUUGUAACAAAGUCACUUAAUUAAUUAAUGGGUUAAAUGGUCCUUCGAGGAUGGUAAAGAAGAUGAAAAGCCAACAGGGCUCAACAUACAACAUUAUCAGACCAAAGUUGACCAGUGAGAAUUGGACUGGAUCCAGGAGAGUAAAAUCAAGUUAUAAAAGCUAUACAAAUUGAAAGCCAUUCACAAGCCAGGGUUUACAAUGAAAAAUAAACACUCGAGUCUUGAUUGUUUCAACCCAUGAAUAAUUAACCAUUGGAAAUGGAAUUAAUUGGAAAAGUCUGUCAACACCAAGAAAGGUCCAAUUGAAGGAAGAAGAAGAAAAAAAAGGAAUUGACUAAUUUUCCCUUUUAAUGCUUGUUCCAAUUCACCAUUAGCAAGAUAUAAUUUCAUGAAACCUUUUCAUAUCUUACAAGAUGGUAAACUGAAAGAAAAAGCCAAAACUCAUACUUAACAAGGAAAACAAAGAAACAUUUUCCAUCAUCAACAUAAUUUCCUCUUCUCAUCACCAGUAUCAUCAUCAACAGUAUCAUGAUCACUGCCAGUGCCCUCAUCUUCAUUAUCAUCUGCAGCUUUUAAAAACCUAGCGAACCACACAAAGCUUUUGGGUCGAUUCAAGAUUCUCAUGCUUCAUGGAAUUCUAAUUUUUAAGAACAAAAAGAGGAGAGAGAAAUUUUUUACUUUUUUCCUUCAUUUUUCACCCUCUAUUUAUCCAUCAUCUCUCAUCUUUUCACUGAUGAUGUUCAACACAGUAAAAAUCAUAAUAUUGUUCAAGACGUACAUCUCAACAGUCUACAUCCUAUGGAUCUCGAUCGAUGAAUGUUUCAAAAUAAUGAGCUACAGAUUAGAAAGUAAAUUACAUACCAAUCUGUGUAAGCUUGUUAAGACCUGUAUGAGUUGAAGAUGAGUUGAGUAGCAAGAGAGUUACAAGGAAAAAAAAUUAUCCAAGAAUGAAGUAAUUUGAUGAAGAAAAGGCAACAGAACACAAAAAAACAACAUUUUCUUGUUCAAACUCAGCGUGAGUUUUUUGUUCUGUGUACAGAGUAUACAGAAUUGAUAAAAGUAGAUAUUGUACUCUCAUCAAAACUCUAGACCACUUAUUAAUCUUAAUUGGCCAACUAAUUCAGUUUAUACUUUAAACUGGGAAAAGCGAAAGCUGAGAAACAUUACAAACAUUUCAUUGAAGGAAGACAAAGAAAAAAAAAGCCAAAGGAAUGAUCAAGAAAAAGCAAUUUGGAGUUUGCUUGGAGAAAUGAGCAAACGAGAGGAAAAUAGCAAAAAAGGAAGGAAACCAAGAAAAGAUUUACAUGAAAAUAGUAAUUCUGAUAAUUCCAACAUGAGAUUCAACAAGUUCAAUGGAAUGACUAAAUGUAAUGGUUCCUUGUAUCAGCUAAUUUACAAUCAACCCCGUUUGUCAAGAAAACCAUUGUUGUCUCAACAAAGGCAACCCUUUUGUUUCGCCCUUAACUCUCUACUCACUGAAUCCAAUUAUUUUCAUUGUAAACAAUUUCAAUUCAUUUGAAUGGUUGAUUAAUUUUUACAUAUUUACCUUUUUCCUUCUCAUCUUCAUUGUUAUACUCAUUGAUAUAUUGUAUAGCAAUGAAAAAAAAUAGCAACAACAGUUAUGAAAACAAAAACAACAAAUAAAUGGGAAAAUGAAAAAAGUCAUUGGAUUGUAAAUAUAAAUGUUGGAAAAAGGGAAAAAGAUAUCAAAAUUAUGUUAAACAGAUGCAAAAUUGUACUUUAUUUUGUUCAUUUGAAACUCCCUUUGUAACUGAACAACAACAAUCUAUCAUGAAUCUUUGUUAUUCCAAUGAUUAUCAGUUAUAAUUAUACCGUCUAUUGAAUAAGCUGUUGUAACCUCUUUUUGUUUUCAACUUUUUCAUCAUUAAAUAUCCUUUUAAAAGGGUAAAAAUAUUUUUCCCAUAA